This 258-nucleotide ribosomal RNA is filed under the name uncultured bacterium. Its description in RNAcentral is "partial 16S ribosomal RNA". It matches the Rfam family "Bacterial small subunit ribosomal RNA", at positions 524 to 782 of the family's 1533-position model. The record is from RNAcentral.
UACAGAGGGUGCGAGCGUUGUCCGGAAUCACUGGGCGUAAAGGGCGCGUAGGUGGCGAAGCAAGUCAGUGGUGAAAGCUCGACGCUUAACGUCGAGUCGGCCACUGAUACUGCAUCGCUUGAGCACUGUAGAGGCUAAUGGAAUUCCGGGUGUAGCGGUGGAAUGCGUAGAGAUCCGGAAGAACACCGGUGGCGAAGGCGGUUAGCUGGGCAGUAGCUGACACUGAGGCGCGACAGCGUGGGGAGCAACAGGAUAGAA